ACUUGCUUUCUUUGCUGGCGACCGGCGCACGGGUGAGUAACACGUAUCCAACCUGCCCUUUACUCGGGGAUAGCCUUUCGAAAGAAAGAUUAAUACCCGAUAGCAUAAUGAUUCCGCAUGGUUUCAUUAUUAAAGGGUUCCGGUAAAGGAUGGGGAUACGUUCCAUUAGGUUGUUGGUGAGGUAACGGCCCACCAAGCCUUCGAUGGAUAGGGGUUCUGAGAGGAAGGUCCCCCACAUUGGAACUGAGACACGGUCCAA
Molecule: ribosomal RNA, 259 nt
Filed under: uncultured bacterium
Lineage: Bacteria
Description: partial 16S ribosomal RNA
Rfam family: Bacterial small subunit ribosomal RNA
Source: RNAcentral